Long non-coding RNA from Pyrus x bretschneideri (Chinese white pear), 696 nucleotides. RefSeq lists it as uncharacterized. NCBI's taxonomy places the organism in Eukaryota, Viridiplantae, Streptophyta, Magnoliopsida, Rosales, Rosaceae. The transcript is spliced from 2 exons. The record is from RefSeq and is a predicted model, not a curated record.
GCAUCUCCAUCCCUAAAAAAAAAUAGCCUAGUCAAUUUUAUUAAAAUAUUAUUAUUAUUUAUUAUAAAAUAAUAAUUGUAUUAUAAAAAAAAGAAAGAUAAAGUCAUCCCUCUGUACUCUUCCUACCAACCGGUUCUCUCCCUCUCUCUCUAUUUUCUCCCCCUCUCUCUCUUUUGCAGCUCACUCCCGUGAGCUCUUCUUCUCAUUCCUCUUCAAAACCUUCAACAAAUCAAACACAAAAUAUUAUUUUUGUAAUCCCUGGAGCUCAAGGAACCCAACCAUGGCCUUGCAUGCGGCAUCGGUGCAUGGUGCGAGAUCCCACCAUUGAAACCGAGAGCUUGAGCUCUCAAUCUCUAACCCAGGUGAUGUUUCUAUCACUGUAUCGUGUUCCUGAGCUUUAAAUCCUGUUGUGUUGCAAUUUUUGUGGUUAAUUUGAGGGCUUAAUUCCCUGCAUGUGAUUCCGACAAAGGAAAACGGACAACUCCGACGAGUUCAAGGUCCAAUCUCGGUGAAAUCUCUUGCAUUUCACCUGGAUUUUCCGUCAAACUCGGGCCAUCAUUUUCAGGCCAUUUGCCUUCUCCCUCCGUCGCUCCAUCCAUCGCUGACAUCACCACGGCGUCAUAUGGGCCGGUCCCAAGGUCUGUCAAUUUUGGGCUGGCCUGGAGACCAGCUUGGGCUGGGUGCCAGGCAAUCCUG